GGGGCUGACUUGGUUUCGACGGGACUUAGUAGCACAUGAUAGCAUGUCGGGCUGAGCAUCCCGUUACACGGCUCAACAUUGUUAAACGCAAACAAUACAAAUUAUCGCCCAGCUUUAGCAGUAGCUUAAGUUCAUAACCCCUCAUACGAGGAGGGCUGCUUCACUUGUGGAUUCUAAAUAAGCAAGGCUCGAAGUAUAACCAUUCAUUUAGAUAUAUUUUAGGUGUGUCUCCACUUAAGACGAACUGCCCAGAGACUCGCUUGGUGUAGUUUUGCAAGUUGUAUGAAACCACAGUUAAACUAAACAACUUUUCUAAACAUGUAGAAGUUAUGUGUAGCUAUUUUUCGGACUGCGGUUCGAUUCCGCACAGCUCCACCA
This 378-nucleotide transfer-messenger RNA is filed under the name Sulfurimonas lithotrophica. RNAcentral describes it as "Standard tmRNA". It matches the Rfam family "transfer-messenger RNA". Rfam says of the family: Bacterial tmRNA, also known as 10Sa RNA or SsrA, is named for its dual tRNA and mRNA-like properties. Its role is to liberate the mRNA from a stalled ribosome. Lineage: Bacteria; Pseudomonadati; Campylobacterota; Epsilonproteobacteria; Campylobacterales; Sulfurimonadaceae. The record is from Rfam by way of RNAcentral.